AUUCUGAAAAUACACUCUCACGUACUCAACUGACUGGAUGAGAAUGCAUCUGGCCGGACGAAGCAGAAGCAAACCCACAGAAAGAAAUCCCCACAAACUGUCUUCCAGAAUGACCACGCCGCAGCCUCCCAAGGUCGCCUGAUCCCCUCCGACUCUGUAACAAGCACGCUCGCUCCACAGGGAGCCCAGGGCCCUUUCCGGAAGAGACGGGGCCCCAGACAAAAAGUUAAAUGGAUUUAAAUGUAAGCAGGUCUAAAAAGAAAGCAGAGUUUCCUUUUAGAAGCUUAAGAAAACAAUUAGAAAUAAAAGGAGGCCAGAAAGCACAGUUAAUGAAGGGGCCCGAGAAGCAAAGGCGAUGGGGAAAUUCACCCGCUUCACGAACACUUUUGCAAGGGCGAGACGGAGGGACCGCACCCAGAGCUCUUCUGACCUUGCCCUUGACUCACUGGGCUCUCACAGCUCACAUCCGCCCUCCGGGUGAGCUUAAAGUCGCCGCUCCAUGGAAAUGUUUGUUCUGCCUCUGGAGCAGAAGACACCGCUUCUGGUGGCCCUGGUGGCCCUGUCUCUGGGGCUCUGAGGUCCUGCCAGGCCAGGAGGAGGCUCUCUUCUUGUCUCACGAGCAGGAUUCGUCCAUGUUAUUUAUGAGAGGAAAGCAAGCUCACUAGCAGUCAUUCCAUUGGAGCCAGAAGCAGACCUCUACCGUAUGCAUUUCACAAGGUAAAGAGCAUUAAAUUGAUUUUACUGCGAGUAUUUGAGAGGGAGAUAAGGUUAGAUGAUACAUUC
This is a long non-coding RNA of Bos indicus x Bos taurus (hybrid cattle), 783 nucleotides long. The record is from Ensembl. NCBI's taxonomy places the organism in Eukaryota, Metazoa, Chordata, Mammalia, Artiodactyla, Bovidae.